This 216-nucleotide ribosomal RNA is filed under the name Glomeromycotina sp. Its description in RNAcentral is "partial small subunit ribosomal RNA". The stretch from base 40 to 216 matches the Rfam family "Eukaryotic small subunit ribosomal RNA", at positions 686 to 864 of the family's 1831-position model. The record is from RNAcentral. Lineage: Eukaryota; Fungi; Glomeromycota.
GGGUCAGUAGGUUGGUCGUGCCACCGGUACGUACUGGUCUCACUGAUUCCUCCUUCCUGAAGAACCGUAAUGCCAUUAAUUUGGUGUUGCGGGGAAACAGGACUGUUACUUUGAAGAAAUUAGAGUGUUUAAAGCAAGCUAACGCUUGAAUACAUUAGCAUGGAAUAAUGAAAUAGGACGAUCGAUCCUAUUUUGUUGAUUUCUAGGAUUGACGUA